This 233-nucleotide non-coding RNA is filed under the name Coprobacillus sp. RNAcentral's name for it is "T-box sequence". It matches the Rfam family "T-box leader". From Rfam's summary of the family: Uncharged tRNA acts as the effector for transcription antitermination of genes in the T-box leader family. T-boxes are found upstream of many aminoacyl-tRNA synthetase genes and some amino acid biosynthetic genes usually in Gram-positive bacteria. The record is from RNAcentral. Lineage: Bacteria; Bacillati; Bacillota; Erysipelotrichia; Erysipelotrichales; Coprobacillaceae.
AGAAAACCGAUGAGUGGGAGAUAAAACUUAAAAAUGUAUUUGUAGAGAGCUUAGGGUGGUGGAAACUAGGUAAUGGCAGUUAAGUAAAUGGACCUGCGAGGGCGAAGGGGAACGGUAACAAGUAUCCUGAGACGUUGGCUUACGUUAUCAAGCAAAAAUGUGUUAGCAUUUUACAGAGUGGGUUCAAUGAACCAAUAAAGGUGGUACCGCAGAUAUAUACAUCUGUCCUUUUG